RNAcentral lists this ribosomal RNA (497 nucleotides) under uncultured bacterium. RNAcentral describes it as "partial 16S ribosomal RNA". It matches the Rfam family "Bacterial small subunit ribosomal RNA", at positions 28 to 507 of the family's 1533-position model. The record is from RNAcentral.
GAUGAACGCUGGCGGCGUGCCUAAUACAUGCAAGUCGAGCGAACGGACGAGAAGCUUGCUUCUCUGAUGUUAGCGGCGGACGGGUGAGUAACACGUGGAUAACCUACCUAUAAGACUGGGAUAACUUCGGGAAACCGGAGCUAAUACCGGAUAAUAUUUUGAACCGCAUGGUUCAAAAGUGAAAGACGGUCUUGCUGUCACUUAUAGAUGGAUCCGCGCUGCAUUAGCUAGUUGGUAAGGUAACGGCUUACCAAGGCAACGAUGCAUAGCCGACCUGAGAGGGUGAUCGGCCACACUGGAACUGAGACACGGUCCAGACUCCUACGGGAGGCAGCAGUAGGGAAUCUUCGACAAUGGGCGAAAGCCUGACGGAGCAACGCCGCGUGAGUGAAGAAGGUCUUCGGAUCGUAAAACUCUGUUAUUAGGGAAGAACAUAUGUGUAAGUAACUGUGCACGUCUUGACGGUACCUAAUCAGAAAGCCCCGGCUAACUACGUG